Molecule: small RNA, 129 nt
Filed under: Marmota monax (woodchuck)
Lineage: Eukaryota; Metazoa; Chordata; Mammalia; Rodentia; Sciuridae
Source: RNAcentral
GCUGGGUGUGGUGGUGCACUCCUGUAAUUCCAGCAGCUCUGGAGGCUGAGACAGGAGGAUCCUGAGUUCAAAGCCAGCCUCAGCAAUGGCAAGGGGCUAAGCAACUAACUCAGUGAGACUCUAUCUCUA